This 607-nucleotide ribosomal RNA is filed under the name Agaricaceae sp. PA363. RNAcentral's name for it is "eukaryotic LSU rRNA". It matches the Rfam family "Eukaryotic large subunit ribosomal RNA", at positions 52 to 642 of the family's 3401-position model. Lineage: Eukaryota; Fungi; Basidiomycota; Agaricomycetes; Agaricales; Agaricaceae. The record is from RNAcentral.
GGAGGAAAAGAACUAACAAGGAUUCCCCUAGUAACUGCGAGUGAAGCGGGAAAAGCUCAAAUUUAAAAUCUGGCAGUCUAUGGCUGUCCGAGUUGUAAUCUAGAGAAGUAAUGCCCGCGCUGGACCGUGUACAAGUCUCCUGGGAUGGAGCGUCAUAGAGGGUGAGAAUCCCGUCUCUGACACGGACUACCAGGGCUUUGUGGUAUGCUCUCAAAGAGUCGAGUUGUUUGGGAAUGCAGCUCAAAAUGGGUGGUAAAUUCCAUCUAAAGCUAAAUAUUGGCGAGAGACCGAUAGCGAACAAGUACCGUGAGGGAAAGAUGAAAAGAACUUUGGAAAGAGAGUUAAACAGUACGUGAAAUUGCUGAAAGGGAAACGCUUGAAGUCAGUCGCGUUGGCCAGGGAUCAGCCUUGCUUUUUUGCAUGGUGUACUUUCUGGUUGAUGGGUCAGCAUCAAUUUUGACUGCUGGAAAAAGGCUUGAGGAAUGUGGCAGCUCCGGCUGUGUUAUAGCUUCAUGUCACAUACAACAGUUGGGAUUGAGGAACUCAGCACGCCGCAAGGCCGGGUUUCGACCACGUUCGUGCUUAGGAUGCUGGCAUAAUGGCUUUA